This 729-nucleotide long non-coding RNA is filed under the name Equus caballus (horse). Its description in RNAcentral is "lncRNA (ENSECAG00000051736.1)". Lineage: Eukaryota; Metazoa; Chordata; Mammalia; Perissodactyla; Equidae. The record is from RNAcentral.
CGCAGACUUGGAAAGCUCAGAAGCCAGGCUUGCUGGUCCCUCUUCCACAAGGAGACAGACAGCUUCAGGCAAUGACAAUCAGCUGGAUGAGAAUGGAAACCUCUGCCUGCUUCACCCACUGCUCUGCCUGGUGUCCAGAGCUGGCCCAGCAGCAGGAGGACCUCAGUGACGUGCACUGGGCGAGUGAAUGCUGCAGACCACACACAAGCACGUUUCUGGGAGUGCUGAGUGUUGUUCACUCAUUUGCUGUUCAUGGAACCCUGCUGUGUGCCUGGUCCUGCCUCGGGCUGGAGGCACAAUGGCCGUGAAUGAGACAAACUCUGCUGCCGCCAUGGAGCUGACAUCUGACAUCGUGGAGGGGGACAGAGAGUGAGCAGAGCACAGCAGAACUCACAGUAGAGGCUCCUGCCAGCAGCCCCGCUCCCUCUGCCUCCUGACCACCCCAUGCUUCCCACGUGGCCUUGUGUGGUGUGGCAUGCCCCCUCCUCUGGGAACUGUGAGUAACCAAAUAUCUUGUCAAUGGCAUCGUUUCCUGAUCUGUUGGCCUCACUGAACCUCUAAUUUUCCAUUAAUACAUCCUAUUUUAAACCAGCCCUCGAACACUUUGCAGACACUUAGUGUAAACAAAUGAAGAACAAAUGAGCUACAUACCCUUUCACAGCAUCUUCAAGUUGAGCAGUUUAAUUUACAUUAGAGGUCCUUUUCUUGCUGGGGAGACAGGAACACAAG